Molecule: non-coding RNA, 45 nt
Filed under: Schistosoma mansoni
Lineage: Eukaryota; Metazoa; Platyhelminthes; Trematoda; Strigeidida; Schistosomatidae
Source: RNAcentral
AUCCAUCUGACGAGUCCUAAAUAGGACGGAACUCAUGUCCUUGAU